Seriola aureovittata is the source of this 2491-nucleotide long non-coding RNA. RefSeq lists it as uncharacterized. Lineage: Eukaryota; Metazoa; Chordata; Actinopteri; Carangiformes; Carangidae. The record is from RefSeq and is a predicted model, not a curated record. The transcript has 2 exons.
CAUCAUAGUAUAGUAAGGCAUAAAAACUCGUAGUAUAGUAAGGCAUAAAAACAUCAUAGUAUGGUAAGGUAUAAAAAAUUAUAGUAUAGUAAGGCUUAAAAAAGGUUAUAGUAUAGUAAGAAAAAAAACUACAUAGUAUAGUAAGGCAUAAAAAAUCAUAGUAAAAAAGUCAUAGUAUAGUAAGGCAUAAAAACAUCAAAAAAACAUCAUGGUAUAGUUAUGCAUAAAAAAGUCAUAAUAUAGUGAGGCAUAAAAAAUCAUUGUAUAGUAAGACAUAAAAAUGUCAAAAAAUGUAUACGACAGUAUAGUAAGGCAUAAAAACGUCAUAGUCUGGUAAGACAUAAAAAUGUCAUAGUAUAGUAGGGCAUGAAAAUGUCAUAGUAUAGUAAGGCAUAAAAAUGUCAAAAAAACGUCAUAGUAUAGUAAGGCAUAAAAAUGUCAAAAAACAUCAUAGUAUAGUAAGGCAUAAAAACGUCAUAGUAUGGUAAGGCUUAAAAAGUCAUUGUAUAGUAAGACAUAAAAAUGUCAAAAAACGUCAUAGUAUAGUAAGGCAUAAAAAUGUCAUAGUAUAGUAAGGCAUAAAAAUGUCAAAAAAAGUCAUAGUAUAGUUAGGUAUAAAAAGUCAUAGUAUAGAAAGGCAUGAAAAUGUCAUAGUAUAGUAAGGCAUAAAAAUGUCAUAGUAUAGUAAGGCAUAAAAAUGUCAAAAAACGUCAUAGUAUAAUAAGGCAUAAAAACGUAAUAGUAUGGUAAGGCAUAAAAAGUCAUUGUAUAGUAAGACAUAAAAAUGUCUAAAAACGUCAUAGUAUAGUAAGGCAUAAAAACGCCAUAGUAUAGUAAGGCAUAAAAAGUCAUAAUAUAGUAAGACACAAAAACGACAGUAUAGUAAGGCAUAAAAACGUCACAGUAUAGUAAGACAUAAAAAUGUCAUAGUAUAGUGAGGCAUAAAAAGUCAUAGUAUAGUAAGGCAUAAAAUGUCAAAAAACGUCAUAGUAUAGUUAGGUAUAAAAAGUCAUAGUAUAGAAAGGCAUGAAAAUGUCAUAGUAUAGUAAGGCAUAAAAAUGUCAUAGUAAGGCAUAAAAAUGUCAAAAAACGUCAUAGUAUAAUAAGGCAUAAAAACGUAAUAGUAUGGUAAGGCAUAAAAAGUCAUUGUAUAGUAAGACAUAAAAAUGUCUAAAAACGUCAUAGUAUAGUAAGGCAUAAAAACGCCAUAGUAUAGUAAGGCAUAAAAAGUCAUACUUUGGUAAGGCAUAAAAAGUCAUAAUAUAGUAAGACACAAAAACGACAGUAUAGUAAGGCAUAAAAACGUCACAGUAUAGUAAGACAUAAAAAUGUCAUAGUAUAGUGAGGCAUAAAAAGUCAUAGUAUAGUAAGGCAUAAAAUGUCAAAAAACGUCAUAGUAUAGAAAGGCAUAAAAACGUCAUAGUAUGAUAAGGCAUAAAAAGUCAUUGUAUAGUAAGACAUAAAAAUGUAAAAAAAACGUGAUAGUAUAGUAAGGCAUAAAAACGUCACAGUAUAGUAAGGCAUAAAAACGUCAUAGUAUAGUAAGGCAUAAAAAUGUCAUAGUAUAGUGAGGCAUAAAAAGUAAUUGUAUAGUAAGAUAUAAAAAUGUCAUAGUAUAGUAAGGCAUAAAAAUGUAAAAAAAAAACGCCAUGGUAUAGUAAGGUAUAAAAAGUCAUAGUAUAGAAAGGCAUGAAAAUGUCAUAGUAUAGAAAGGCAUGAAAAUGUCAUAGUAUAGUAAGGCAUAAAAAUGUCAAAAAACGUCAUAGUAUAAUAAGGCAUAAAAACGCCAUAGUAUAGUAAGGCAUAAACAGUCAUUGUAUAGUAAGACAUAAAAAUGUCUAAAAAGUCAUAGUAUAGAAAGGCAUGAAAAUGUCAUAGUAUAAUAAGGCAUAAAAACGUAAUAGUAUGGUAAGGCAUAAAAAGUCAUUGUAUAGUAAGACAUAAAAAUGUCUAAAAACGUCAUAGUAUAGUAAGGCAUAAAAACGCCAUAGUAUAGUAAGGCAUAAAAAGUCAUACUUUGGUAAGGCAUAAAAAGUCAUAAUAUAGUAAGACACAAAAACGACAGUAUAGUAAGGCAUAAAAACGUCACAGUAUAGUAAGACAUAAAAACUCAUACUUUGGUAAGGCAUAAAAAGUCAUAAUAUAGUAAGACACAAAAACGACAGUAUAGUAAGGCAUAAAAACGUCACAGUAUAGUAAGACAUAAAAAUGUCAUAGUAUAGUAAGGCAUAAAAAGUCAUAGUAUAGUAAGGUAUAAAAUGUCAAAAAACGUCAUAGUAUAGAAAGGCAUAAAAACGUCAUAGUAUGAUAAGGCAUAAAAAGUCAUUGUAUAGUAAGACAUAAAAAUGUAAAAAAAACGUCAUAGUAUAGUAAGGCAUAAAAACGUCACAGUAUAGUAAGGCAUAAAAACAUCAUAGUAUAGUAAGGCAUAAAAAUGUCAUAGUAUAGUGAGGCAUAAAAAGUAAUUGUAUAGUAAGAUAUAAAAAUGUCA